CCUUCGAUAGCUCAGUUGGUAGAGCGGUGGACUGUAGUAACGAGAUGCAUUCGAAAACAUCAAGAUUUAGCUGUCUACAUUGGGCCUCCGACAGGACGCCCAGUGUAUACAGCCACUAGGUGCAGACAUCCAUAGGUCGCUGGUUCAAAUCCGGCUCGAAGGA
This 163-nucleotide transfer RNA is filed under the name Glossina brevipalpis. Its description in RNAcentral is "tRNA tRNA-Tyr". It matches the Rfam family "tRNA". From Rfam's summary of the family: Transfer RNA (tRNA) molecules are approximately 80 nucleotides in length. The record is from RNAcentral. Lineage: Eukaryota; Metazoa; Arthropoda; Insecta; Diptera; Glossinidae.